CAUUAAAUGGCUGAAAGUAAGCAAUGGAAUUUUAACCCAUUUUAUAGUAAAUUAACGCAUGCUUUUAAUG
Molecule: transfer RNA, 70 nt
Filed under: Aesa media
Lineage: Eukaryota; Metazoa; Arthropoda; Insecta; Coleoptera; Cerambycidae
Description: tRNA-Lys
Source: RNAcentral